AUCGAGCUGACGGGUCCCAAAUAGGACGAAAUACACGUUCUAGAU
RNAcentral lists this non-coding RNA (45 nucleotides) under Schistosoma curassoni. Lineage: Eukaryota; Metazoa; Platyhelminthes; Trematoda; Strigeidida; Schistosomatidae. The record is from RNAcentral.